AGUGAACGCUGGCGGUAGGCCUAACACAUGCAAGUCGAACGGCAGCACAGUAAGAGCUUGCUCUUACGGGUGGCGAGUGGCGGACGGGUGAGGAAUACAUCGGAAUCUACUUUUUCGUGGGGGAUCACGUAGGGAAACUUACGCUAAUACCGCAUACGACCUACGGGUGAAAGCAGGGGAUCUUCGGACCUUGCGCGUUUGAAUGAGCCGAUGUCGGAUUAGCUAGUUGGCGGGGUAAAGGCCCACCAAGGCGACGAUCCGUAGCUGGUCUGAGAGGAUGAUCAGCCACACUGGAACUGAGACACGGUCCAGACUCCUACGGGAGGCAGCAGUUGGGAAUAUUGGACAAUGGGCGCAAGCCUGAUCCAGCCAUACCGCGUGGGUGAAGAAGGCCUUCGGGUUGUAAAGCCCUUUUGUUGGGAAAGAAAAGCAGCAGGUUAAUACCCCGCUGUUCUGACGGUACCCAAAGAAUAAGCACCGGCUAACUUCGUG
This 492-nucleotide ribosomal RNA is filed under the name uncultured bacterium. RNAcentral describes it as "partial 16S ribosomal RNA". It matches the Rfam family "Bacterial small subunit ribosomal RNA", at positions 29 to 507 of the family's 1533-position model. The record is from RNAcentral.